AAAGGAUAUGGAUACACCCAGGGUGGAAACCCCAAGCCAGUGAAUCCAGCCUUUGGUAGCUAUCUGAACGGUUAUGGAAAUAAAAAUAAAGGAUAUGGAGGCUCAAUGGGAGGAGGAGCCAGACCUCACCCAGGU
Cynoglossus semilaevis (tongue sole) is the source of this 135-nucleotide long non-coding RNA. RefSeq lists it as uncharacterized. Lineage: Eukaryota; Metazoa; Chordata; Actinopteri; Pleuronectiformes; Cynoglossidae. The transcript has 3 exons. The record is from RefSeq and is a predicted model, not a curated record.